Molecule: unclassified non-coding RNA, 378 nt
Filed under: Hevea brasiliensis (rubber tree)
Lineage: Eukaryota; Viridiplantae; Streptophyta; Magnoliopsida; Malpighiales; Euphorbiaceae
Source: RNAcentral
UCUUUUUCACCUGCAAAAUGCAUGAUCUUGUACACGAUCUAGCUAUAUCAGUAGCACAAAGUGAGUGCUCAACUGUAACCUUUCUCACCCCAACUGUUAAUGAAAAAAUUCGUCAUUUUUCUUUUUUGGGCACUAAUUUGCCGGGCCAAGAAGUUCCGAAGUUCUUACACAAGCUAGAUCGGGUGAGAACCAUAUUUUUCCCAGUCAGAGGGAUGGGACCUAGCAGCGAAACAUUUAUUGAUGCCUGUUUAUCAAGAUUCAAACACUUACGGGUGCAAUCUUAGUGAUUCAUGUUUUGAGGCAUUGCCUAAUUCAAUUGGUACCUUGAAGCAUUUGAGAUAUCUUGACCUUUAUAGGAAUCGUAAGAUCACGAAACUC